UCCCCUGGCGGAGGGCGCGCCGCACUCUCGCUCCCCGCGCGUCCUUUGCUGCGAACACCGCAGCAGCGACCCAGCGGGGCAGUGGAACAGACGCGUUUGGGCAGCGCGACCCCGCGGUCGGCGCGUCAGCCGGCAUUUUGCGUAGGCCCGCAGGCGCGGCCAUUUUGCUUUACGGAGGACGGAGAGGCGCGCGCCGCCAUCUUGCCGUCCUGCGGGGCGCGGGGACCAGAUCCCACGUGCUGCAGAGUGUCGCCUUGAGCGCUACGCUUGUGGCGGUCUCGCUGUGGGGCGGCGAGGAGAGGGCCGGAGCCUGGCGGCACGACAGCCUGAGGCCCGGGAUGGUAAUCGCUGCGCGGCCGCGAACUGCUCCCACCGCCGGGCAACGAGGAGAAACCGCUGUCGCCUGCCACAGGGAGCCUGCCUUGAUCUCUGCAAUCAUGAAUGUGGCUGUGCAAAUGCAGCUUGUACCGCCAGGGUGUAGGCGUCUCCCAGACGCUGGGUUGCUUUAAGGGUCCUGGCAGUGCAGGGAAAGGUGGCUCUGCGCUGGAGGUGAGUCCUGGCGAGUCAUCUGACAGCAUCCUGGGUGGAGCAGGGCACAGCCCACACCUCACGGGGAGGCUGACCCUAUGGACUGGGACUCUACAUCUGACAGCAUCCAGGGUAGAGGAGGGCGCGGCCCAUUCCUCACAGGGAGGCUUGCCUUGGGGAAGGGGCUCUUCUCUUCACUUCUUCCUUGGCCUCCCACAGCGUGGUGAGGAGUUUGCCUUCCCCCUGGCCUGGCUCCCUUCAUGAGGGCUUCUGGAAUUCAGCCAGUCUUUUCCUGCGGACUCCGCACUGGAGGUCCCAGAACAGUGCACUGAAGACAUUCUACUUUGAAAACCUUCUGGCAGAUCCUUUUGUUUCAUGUUGCAGGUUGUUACUGAAGUUUGAAAGACCUGAAUGCCAUUUGUUGUCUGUAGCCUCAUUGAAAAUCUACAGUGGGUUGUUGUAAGUUGGAAGUUGUUACAAUCUAUCCAAAGAACUAGUAACAUCAGCUUGUUUCAGAGGCUUCAUAUAAAGGGCUCAAAAUGUGUGGUCCAGUGGUUAAAAGCUGCUCACAGGGAUGACUGGACCCCACUAAGCAUUCUUUCGUCUAUAGUGAACAUUUCACCACAAAAAGCUCUCGGAAAGGCUGAAGGAUCAGUACUAUGUGCUCAAGCCCACGGCCAUGCCCUCCAUCUUCCACCUGAGUGAGAAGGGGGGGCUGAAGGCCCUGGCCGCCCCAGGAGAAAGGACACCAGGAAGGCCGCCGGGGGCCUGAGGAACGUGCGAGUGAAGCAGAUGGGAAAGGAGCUGCAGGUUCAUUGUUGUCCUUGAGGGAAAACCUGCGGGCCCAGCCGGGGUCCCGCAAGUUGAAGCCAGCCGCUCUGCAGGGGUAACCCACGCCCAGGGCUGCCCAGGAAGCCGCCAGUCAGGAGUGGAUGCAGAGUCUCUGGAAGGAACUCCAGGAGACAGUGUGGCCUCCACAGCAUCAGGCAGCCAGGGAGAUGCAAACACGACUGCUGUAGAUGCUGGCGAUGAGACCCCCUCUUCCCAGCCAGGGACUGCUGGGUAAGAGUGGCAUUUCCGUGGGUAACUUUACCCCCCAAGAUCUAGGGCAUGCAGAUUUAUUGGUUGGCUUCCUUCUUACAGUUUCUCCUCAGUGCACGCUCGAGAGAGGCCAUCUGUCUCUUGAGAGGCUGUUGACCGAAAGAGGCUGAAGAGAGACGUGGAGCCCAGCUGCAGCAGGACCAGCCUGGGGGUUGACGAGGGGUUGGCCCAGAGCCCCAAAGUUCAUCAUUCACAAUGAUGCCUCAGAAACCCUCCCAGAGCCCCUCCACCCUCCAACAGACGUCACCCCGAAGACAGCAGCAGAAGCUGUGCAGGCCGAGCACCGUGACACCGGCCCCACGUCCCUCAGUGGAGUCAUCCUGUCAGUGCUGGGGGCCCAGGAACUCCUUGACUCGCUGCACUCCUACUGCUUCUGCUCCCGGGGGAACAGGAGCACGUGUGCCUCCUGCAGGAGCAGGUGGAGAAGAACGGCGAGCUGAAGAGGGGCAGCUGCUGACAGCCAGGUGCACACGCUGCAGGAGGAGCUGGACGAGCUGAAGGGAGGGGGCUCCCUACCUGAGCAGCCUGCCGCCCCCAGCGGAGGUCAGUCCUGGGGCUUGCGGCUCUCCCACUGCCUGCUCAUCGUGAGGGGUUUCCUGCUUCGCAGCAGACUGCCCCUGAGCACUUCUGUGCACAGCAUGUUUGCUGCUGACUUGGGAGAAGGCUCUGCUGGUAGCCGCCCCUCGCAGACAGGGAGCCCAGGUUGCAGAGCUCACCCUGCUCGCUCUGGGGCGCUCGAGAGGCAGCGGUAGCUGUCAGGGUUUAGCAGGCGGGAAAGGAGGCAUUGCAGGUCAGCUGGGAAAGCCAGACCUACCCAAUGAAUGGUGCCUGGAUGGUUGGUUUUCCACUUCAACAGGAGAAAAUCAGCUUCUGUUGCAUCCCUCACACAAAUGUAAAUUCCAAUGAGUUAGGAUCUAAAUGUGAAAUAAAAUCGACAUAGUAAAGUAUUAGAAAAGUAAUAAGAGACUCUUAAAGUCAUGAGGUUCUUUCCAUUCAUAUUUUAAUGAAUAUACUUGAACUGAAGUCAUUUUGAACAUUUUAAUAAUUUCUUUAAAAUUUUAAACAUCUUUUUGAGUAGAAUACAUUGUCUUUUGUAAAAAUUAAAACAACACAGAAAUAUAUAAGCUAAGAAGUGGUAAAAACUCCUAUUUCUCACCUACUUUCCAACUUUUAUUUCUUGUCAGUAGUAAAAUUUGGUGUGUUAUCUCAUCGACUGUUCCCUGUGCUUUACAUGCAUAUUUCUCCACCUGUACGAAUAGGUUGGAUGUAUUUUUGGUGUGGUUAUUGGUUAUGUUUUUGAUUUUCCUGCUCUUUUACAGUUUAGUCCUUGUAAACGUUGGUUUCUCAAUAUUCCUUACAUAUUGAGGAUACCAUCUUUUCUCUGUUACACAUCCAUGGAGAACAUUUCCCAGCACAUUGUUCAUUUAAUCUGGAUCAGGGCUUGUCUUCCCAGAUGUCAGUAACACUUCAGGUGGGAAACGGGUGUAUGUGUCAGGCUGUUCAGUAUCUCCAGGACCCCCGGGGCAACAACCAUUAGGACAACACAAAGCAAGAAACAAAACCCAUCCUGCGUGUUUCCAGAUGUAUCCUGAGGGAAGGACAGCUCCAGUUGAGGACUGCUGAUGUCCUGGUCAGAGUUAUCUGCUAUGUUCUCCUAUCAUGUUAAAGCUGUUUCUGGGGAGCUAGCACCUAACCUCUUAACGUUUGUCUUACCUGAUGGUACAGUUUGGUAUAUUUGUCUGUUUCUCUUGGUCGGACUGUGAAUGUUUCUCACUGUUACAGGUCUUUCCAGACAGCCAGCCCUUGACUCCAUUGCUCAUGUCUACGUUGUUGUUCCUGCCUCAUGAAUCCUCGCUUCAUUCUGCUGCCUUUGGUUUUAUUGUGGUGGUGUUCUGGCUCCUGAGGGAAGUGCUCAGCUUCUUCGUGUACGGUUGAUAGUCCCUGAUACCUGCAGUGGAGGCUGUGUCCCUUCUGUCCCUUUGUCCCCAUGCCACGGAUUUGCCUCUUGCUGCUCUCAUUGCUGUUCAUUUCUAAAGAGUUUGUCCUGUCUGUCUGGAUCCCCCCUGUAACCUGAGAGAUUUAGAAGGGUGUGCUUAGAUUUUCAAGUGAAUAGGUUGGGGGAGGGGAGCCAAUAUUUUGUGAUUAUUUUUUACUGUAAUUGCUGUAAGGUCUGGUAAUAUGAUCACUUAUAGAUUUCUGCUUUGUGGACUCUUUAGAGAUUUCGUUGUGGCUUAGCACACAGUCCAUUGUGGUGACUGUUUCAUUGUGGUUUGAGGAGAAUGUAUCCUCUCCUCUAGUUGCUUAUGUUGUCGUCCGUCAGGAUGAGGCUAGAUCUAGCUUUUUUGUGUUUAUAAGCAGAUCUGUUUCCUAACGUACUGUGUCACUUGACCUGUGGAUUUCUAAGAGAGGUAAGGUCAGUUGCCCUGUGAUUCUGGAGGUGCCUGUGUCUUCUUGUUUGUCCAGUUUUGCUUUAUGUUUCAAGACCAUAUUGUUAGGUACAUAAGUGUUCCUGCCAGUUAUCAACACAGAAAACCCCUUUUUGUCCCAUUUAAAUUCUUAUUUCUUUAUCUCCUUAUUUUCAACCAUAUUAUAUCCUUUUAUUUUAUAACAAUAUUUUAACUCAACUUGAGAGCCUUCAUGUUUUUCUAGAGCGAUUUGAUCCAUUUACAAUUGUGAUUAUUGAUAAAUUGGAAUGUGAGUUUACCAUUUAAUUUAAUUUUUAAUUUGUUAGGUUUUCUCAUGAUUUUUCUAUUUUUUUAGUGGGUGUCUUUCAGCUUUUAGGAACAACCCUUUCUGCCUCUCUUUCAGUAAAUGCUUCGAGUUGAUCAGUUCCUGUGUUCUACACUCCCAGUUCAUCACCUUCUGGUCCCCAGUUUGAGAAUAUCUGAUCUUAGCUCUGUGUUCUUAUUUUCUCCAUCAAGCAACCAUGAUUGGAUCAGGGUAAGCACUUCUGCUGGGGUACAAUAGGUGAUUGGAGGCCAAGUGACAGACCCUGCGACUCCUGAUUCCCAGUGCACGGACAGGCCUCUCAGCCCAUUGGACAUAAAUGGUGGUGGUGUUUGUGAAGCAUCUUGCUGGCAGUGUGGAAGGAAUGGAAUCAUAAACCAGUCAAUCGGGAAUCGCCUGAUGAGCAGCAGUUUGGUGGCAGCAGUGGGAUUCAAAGGAGACAUCGGAUGGAUUUGGGGAUGAGAAACAUAGGCAUUGGUACCCGCAAAACCUUUGAGUUCUCCAUCUUUUUUGCUGUUUCUGAGGACCGUGGUGGGAAGUCCAUCUCCACCUGUGGCUGUUAAGGAGCAUGAGAAGAAGCCCAACCUCACAGCCUUCCUCCUAAGCUGGUGGUGGAGCAGUUGACCCUGAUGGAUUAGGUGAGCAGCUGGGCUGUCAGGACGGGGUGGGGCAGGUCUUCCCUCUGCCAUCAUUGCCCCAGACCUGAUCCGCACUCCUAUGACCAAAUCCUGGCUCCACCCCUUACCAACCGUACGACCUGGGCAACUUUCUGAACCCCCAAGGCUUUGCUGUCCACCUGCAGAGCGUAGAGGUGGACACUAACAGGACCUGCUGCACAGAGUGGGUGUGCCAACUCCAUGAGGAGCUCUUCCGGAAGGUGCUGCCCUCUCAGUGCCUGGGCUCCAACUGGGGCAAGAGGAACAAGCCCGGCAAUGAGCACCUGGCACCCACCCUCCAGGCCACCGUCGACCACUUCAGAAGGGUGGUCAGCCUCGUCGUCACCACCUGCCUCGGGGACCCAAGCAUGACGGCCCAGGACAGGGCGAGGGUGGUGGAGCACUGGAUCCAGGUGGCCCAGGAGUGCGAGAUCCUGAAGAUCUUCUCCUUGCCCCGCACUGUCAUCUCUGCUCUGCAGAAACCCUCCAUAAACCACCUGAAGAACACACGGGGGAAGUUUCCCGGGAGAGCUCUGAAAAACUUAAGGAGCUUUAUAGCCACAACAAGUCCUUGAGCAGAGAACUGAUGACCAAGGAGGGGCCCUCCACCUUUGCCCCCCCGGAGAGCAGCCCCCAGAGAGUGCAGGAGAAGCAGCAGCAGCAGCAGCAGCAGGUGAGUGGUGUUGUCCCCUAUCUUGGUACUUUCCUCGGUGACCUGCUGAUGCUGCACCUGGUGAAGGGUGAUUAUCUCAAGGUGGGUGAACAUGGGGACCAAGCAGGGUGGACCAGGAUCCUGAGCCUUGGGAUGCACGAGCCCCCGAACUGAGCUCUGAGCUCUCAGCACUUGGCUCAUCUCUCAUGAGAGCCUCGCAGCCGCCCCUGGGAGCUGGGGCAGCAGACCCAUCUUAGGGAUGAGUGAACAGAGGCUCCGCCUGAGACACCCAUUCCGGUUCCCCAGGCUGGGGAAGCUCAGAGCUGCCUGAUGGCUCAGCUGCAUGAGGUUUUAUCUGAGCUGGACUCUGCCUCUCCGUCCCAUGCUGCCCAUGGGGGAGAGAGAUGUCAGGUCCCUCCAAGUCAGGCAGCACAUAAGUGGCUGAGCAGUCUCCUCUGCCUGAGGCCUCAGCCUCCAAGUCUGUCAUCAGAGAGCGUUGUGCUGCCAGGUCCCUUAGCCUCUCCCCCAUGUCCUCCUUCUCUGGAAGCCCAGAGCACGGCCUAGGUCCAAGUCCUGUUUUCUCUGCAUGCCCGGCCCCCUCUGGGGACCUGGCAGUAGUGCAACAUGAGAAGGGGUGGGCAUAGAGGGCUAGUCAGUCUAGGGGGCUCUGUCUGAUGGACUCUGGCUGUCUGCCUUCCAGGGGAAUGAGAUCAACCUUGAGAAGAGGACUGAGGAGCAGCUGCGGCACUCCCUGCAGGGGAGGGGAAGGAGGUGGAAAUCAGAGACCCUCUGGGCAGAACAGUCCCUGUUUCCACCCCGUGUACCUUACAUUGAGUGGAAGAGAUUGAUAACAGAGAAGUGGGAGACCCAUCCAAUUGGCGGGAAUACCGACUCAUGAGGGAGAUCCUGCUACUCCAAGUGGCUGCAAAGAAUUACAACCAGAUCCCCAGGAGCAAUUUGGGGCCUGAUUCCAGGACAUGGAGCUGCUCAAUGAGAAUGAUAGCUACAGCCUGUCCCGCCAGUUGGAGCCCCAGACCUAGUUGGCCAGCAGAAUACUCAAGGCCAAGAAGAACCACCCAUCAUCAAGGUCAGGGGUCAAAGACCAAGGGCAGAGGUCAUCAAGAGGUCAAGCCUAAUCUACCUACAGAUGUGGCAGGCUUAACUAUGGAUGUUCAAGCCAAACAUUGCCAGCAGAAUCACAUCUCUUCACCCAUAGGCUGCCAUGAUCCUCCCUCUGGACCCUGUGGUCAGGGUCGCUGCAGAGAUCCUCCUUUUGGACCCCACCCGCCUGAAGGGCCUAUACCUUGGUCAGGCAUCUUAGAAGGACUGCCAUGAACCAUGUCAUAAAAAGGAGAAAACAUCACAGUGGACAGCCCCAAUUCCUACAUAUACAGACGGGAAACUUAGGUGCACUGCUUCUCUGAUUGACUCCAAAUACUACAGCACCACAGGCUUCUAGACUGGUGGAUGCGCAGCUCCACUUCUUUGCAGGGAGGACGCACAACAGCAGAAUAUCCGUGGCCCGACUUUCUGGAGCAUCAGUAUUACUACAAGAUUUGGAAGAAGCAAAGUUAGGUCAUUUCCAAGAUGAGUCCACCUUAAGGAUCACCCUUAAAAGAGAAGAUUCAAAACCUCUCAUAAUGGAAUGCAGUCUUGGAUUAAUAUGCAGAAACUUCUAAAAGACAAAGUUACUGAACAUGAUAUAAAAUGAUCUUUGGUAAAUGAAAGCCUGUUUAAGUUUGCGGGUUUGAUUUAAAAUAGGCAUGUUUUCAGAGUUAUCAACAUUGGAUAUAAUGCAGACAUGUUCUCUCUGUUACAAAAUUUGUCAGCAAAAUAACAUAGAAUAAUAGCUGAUUUUGUUAGAUGUCUCAUGAGAUUUUUGUAGACAAUCUAAAUUGUUGAGGACAGGUAAGCUAAAUAGAUAUGGAAAAGGAUAAAAGUUUUUGGAGACGGUUUUUAACAAUAAUUAUGCAUUAUGGUGUAUGUACUUAAAAAAACUGCUUUAUUAUCAUAAAAAUUUUUUGUGAAUAACCUAAAUGUAAUUAUUGGAAAUAAAUGAUUUAGAUAAAUAAAAAAUAAAUAAAUAAAUAAAAUAAAAGGGUAUAACUCAAGAACAGCCUGAUGGAAGUGGUGCAUAGGGAAAGGUGUGUGAGAAGGGGCACAGAGCUUUCAUGCCAUCUCCAGGUGCACCACUCUCCAGGCACUCCUUGUCAUUGCCACCCUGGAAGCUCUCUGAACCUCCUUCUACUGGGAUUUUUAUGGAGGCUCCCUCAUGCAGGCAUGAUCAAUUAUUAACUCAGUUUCCAGCCCCUCUCCCCUCUCUGGAGGAUAAGGGGUAGGGCUAAAAAUUCCAAGCUUCUAAUCAGGGCUUGGUCUUUCUGAUGACCAGCCCCCAUCCAAGAGCCCACCCAGAGUUGCCUCAAUAGAACAAAAGAUUCUCCUAGUGUUCUUAUCACUUGGGAAAUUACAAGGGUUUUAGGAGCUCUGUGUCAGGGAUGGGGUCAAAGACAAAUAUUAGAACAAGAGAUGCUCCUAGUGUUCAUAUCAUUUAGGAAAUUACAAGGGUUUUAGGACCUUUGUUAUAGGAACUGGAGGCAGACACCAAUAAAUGUAUUUUCUAUUAUUUCAGAACCCAUAAGUGGAAUUUCUAGAUCCUGUGGUAAUUCUAUUUUUAAUUUUUGAAGGAACUGCCAUACUGUUUUCCACAGUUUUAUAUUCUCACCAUCAGAGUAUAAGGGUUCCAAUUUGUCAACAUCCUUGCCAACACUUGUUAUUUUCUGAUUUUGUGACAGUAACUAUCCUAAUGGGUGUGAAGAGGUAUCUCAUUGUGGUUUUAUUUCGCAUUUUCCUGAUACUUAGUGAUGUUGAGCAUCUUUUCAUUUGUUUACUGGCCAUUUUAUAUCUUUGGAGAAAUGUGUAUUCAAGUCCUUUGUACAUUUUUAAAUUGGGUUUUUUUUUAUUGUUGAGUUGUAGGAGUUCUUUAUAUAUUCUAGUUAUUAAUCCCUUAUCAGAUAUGUGAUUUGCAAAUAUUUUCAGCCAUUCUGUGUGUUGCCUUUUUACUCUGUUGAUUGUAUCUUGUGCUACAGAAAACCUUUGCAUUUUAACUAAGUCCAAUUUGUUAUUUUUUUUGUUGCUUAUGUCUUUGGUGUCAUAUUAAAGAAAUCAUUGUUGGCAAUGGCA
Molecule: long non-coding RNA, 8844 nt
Organism: Diceros bicornis minor
Lineage: Eukaryota; Metazoa; Chordata; Mammalia; Perissodactyla; Rhinocerotidae
Exons: 18
Source: RefSeq, a predicted model, not a curated record